UACGAAGGGGGCUAGCGUUGCUCGGAAUCACUGGGCGUAAAGGGUGCGUAGGCGGGCCUUUAAGUCAGGGGUGAAAUCCUGGAGCUCAACUCCAGAACUGCCUUUGAUACUGAAGAUCUUGAGUUCGGGAGAGGUGAGUGGAACUGCGAGUGUAGAGGUGAAAUUCGUAGAUAUUCGCAAGAACACCAGUGGCGAAGGCGGCUCACUGGCCCGAUACUGACGCUGAGGCACGAAAGCGUGGGGAGCAAACGGG
Molecule: ribosomal RNA, 253 nt
Filed under: uncultured bacterium
Lineage: Bacteria
Description: partial 16S ribosomal RNA
Rfam family: Bacterial small subunit ribosomal RNA
Source: RNAcentral